This 450-nucleotide ribosomal RNA is filed under the name uncultured bacterium. RNAcentral's name for it is "bacterial SSU rRNA". It matches the Rfam family "Bacterial small subunit ribosomal RNA", at positions 354 to 796 of the family's 1533-position model. The record is from RNAcentral.
GUAGGGAAUAUUGGGCAAUGGAUGCAAGUCUGACCCAGCCAUCCCGCGUGCCGGAAGAAGGCCUUCGGGUUGUAAACUGCUUUUGUACGGAACGAAACGGUCCGGGUUAAUACCCUGGGCUAAUGACGGUACCGUAAGAAUAAGCACCGGCUAACUACGUGCCAGCAGCCGCGGUAAUACGUAGGGUGCAAGCGUUAAUCGGAAUUACUGGGCGUAAAGCGUGCGCAGGCGGUGAUGUAAGACAGUUGUGAAAUCCCCGGGCUCAACCUGGGAACUGCAUCUGUGACUGCAUUGCUGGAGUGCGGCAGAGGGGGAUGGAAUUCCGCGUGUAGCAGUGAAAUGCGUAGAUAUGCGGAGGAACACCGAUGGCGAAGGCAAUCCCCUGGGCCUGCACUGACGCUCAUGCACGAAAGCGUGGGGAGCAAACAGGAUUAGAAACCCUGGUAGUCC